GCCCGCCUAGCUCAAUCGGACAGAGCGUCAGACUCUUAAUUCUAAGAGUGGCGGGUUAUCUAUGACAUCUGAAGGCUGGGGGUUCGACUCCCCCGGUGGGCU
Molecule: transfer RNA, 102 nt
Filed under: Wolfiporia cocos MD-104 SS10
Lineage: Eukaryota; Fungi; Basidiomycota; Agaricomycetes; Polyporales; Phaeolaceae
Description: Wolfiporia cocos (strain MD-104) (brown rot fungus) tRNA
Rfam family: tRNA
About the family: Transfer RNA (tRNA) molecules are approximately 80 nucleotides in length.
Source: Rfam by way of RNAcentral